This 305-nucleotide long non-coding RNA is filed under the name Capsicum annuum. Its description in RNAcentral is "long non-coding RNA (CANN_LNC014878)". Lineage: Eukaryota; Viridiplantae; Streptophyta; Magnoliopsida; Solanales; Solanaceae. The record is from RNAcentral.
ACCAUUUUGGCAAGACUUCACGAACUACGCACACCUGAUUCUCCUCUCUUGGGAGUGAGAUACGUAGGCGCCCUUCUUGGGUUCGGUGACCUUUUCAUAAAGGAAAAGGAAAAAGAAAAAAGUUUGAGAAAGUGUUGAACUCUAACGCAUUUUCUAUCUCUUGUCCAGUUAGUUUAAGGUGGUUGGUUUGUGGCAUUUUGGCUGGUCCUCCAUAUUGCUCCAAGUCACAGAGAAAGUUAUGGCCAGCAAGGAUACCUAGUUAGUUGUCACUAAUUAGAUAGGGAGUUCGGGGAAUGAGAAUGUAG